RNAcentral lists this non-coding RNA (24 nucleotides) under Arabidopsis thaliana (thale cress). Lineage: Eukaryota; Viridiplantae; Streptophyta; Magnoliopsida; Brassicales; Brassicaceae. The record is from RNAcentral.
AUAGAGGUUCGAAUUCGGUGUAGU